GACGUAGGGCGCGAGCGUUGUCCGGAUUUAUUGGGCGUAAAGAGCUCGUAGGCGGCUUGUUGCGUCGACUGUGAAAACCCGCGGCUUAACUGCGGGCUUGCAGUUGAUACGGGCAGGCUAGAGUUCGGUAGGGGAGACUGGAAUUCCUGGUGUAGCGGUGAAAUGCGCAGAUAUCAGGAGGAACACCGGUGGCGAAGGCGGGUCUCUGGGCCGUAACUGACGCUGAGGAGCGAAAGCAUGGGGAGCGAACAGG
RNAcentral lists this ribosomal RNA (253 nucleotides) under uncultured bacterium. RNAcentral describes it as "partial 16S ribosomal RNA". It matches the Rfam family "Bacterial small subunit ribosomal RNA", at positions 524 to 776 of the family's 1533-position model. The record is from RNAcentral.